Molecule: ribosomal RNA, 402 nt
Filed under: uncultured bacterium
Lineage: Bacteria
Description: partial 16S ribosomal RNA
Rfam family: Bacterial small subunit ribosomal RNA
Source: RNAcentral
UGGGGAAUCUUAGACAAUGGGGGCAACCCUGAUCUAGCCAUGCCGCGUGAGUGAUGAAGGCCUUAGGGUUGUAAAGCUCUUUCAGCUGGGAAGAUAAUGACGGUACCAGCAGAAGAAGCCCCGGCUAACUCCGUGCCAGCAGCCGCGGUAAUACGGAGGGGGCUAGCGUUGUUCGGAAUUACUGGGCGUAAAGCGAACGUAGGCGGACUGGAAAGUUGGGGGUGAAAUCCCGGGGCUCAACCUCGGAACUGCCUUCAAAACUAUCAGUCUGGAGUUCGAGAGAGGUGAGUGGAAUUCCGAGUGUAGAGGUGAAAUUCGUAGAUAUUCGGAGGAACACCAGUGGCGAAGGCGGCUCACUGGCUCGAUACUGACGCUGAGGUGCGAAAGCGUGGGGAGCAAACA